GACGAACGCUGGCGGCGUGCCUAAUACAUGCAAGUAGAACGCUGAAGGAGGAGCUUGCUUCUCUGGAUGAGUUGCGAACGGGUGAGUAACGCGUAGGUAACCUGCCUGGUAGUGGGGGAUAACUAUUGGAAACGAUAGCUAAUACCGCAUAAUAGCAGUUGUUGCAUGAUAACUGUUUGAAAGUUGCAAUUGCACCGCUACCAGAUGGACCUGCGUUGUAUUAGCUAGUUGGUGGGGUAACGGCUCACCAAGGCGACGAUACAUAGCCGACCUGAGAGGGUGAUCGGCCACACUGGGACGGAGACACGGCCCAGACGCCUACGGGAGGCAGCAGGAGGGAAUCUUCGGCAAUGGACGGAAGUCUGACCGAGCAACGCCGCGUGAGUGAAGAAGGUUUUCGGAUCGUAAAGCUCUGUUGUAAGAGAAGAACGAGUGUGAGAGUGGAAAGUUCACACUGUGACGGUAUCUUACCAGAAAGGGACGGCUAACUACGUG
RNAcentral lists this ribosomal RNA (495 nucleotides) under uncultured bacterium. Its description in RNAcentral is "partial 16S ribosomal RNA". It matches the Rfam family "Bacterial small subunit ribosomal RNA", at positions 28 to 507 of the family's 1533-position model. The record is from RNAcentral.